This is a long non-coding RNA of Sarcophilus harrisii (Tasmanian devil), 1306 nucleotides long. RefSeq lists it as uncharacterized. The record is from RefSeq and is a predicted model, not a curated record. The transcript is spliced from 2 exons. Lineage: Eukaryota; Metazoa; Chordata; Mammalia; Dasyuromorphia; Dasyuridae.
UCCAAGAAAAAAAAAAGGCAAGUGAUGAUGAACUUUGUGUCUGUUGUCCAAGGAUCAGCACAGCUAACUUUGGAGAGGCCGACCAAAGGGUGAUUUUUUUUUCUCUAAUUACAGAAAUUCUUGAAGAUUCUUUAUUAAGUCAUAGAGACAUUGCAAUCUGCAUUGAUGGAGGUAGAAUCCACAUUGAUAAAAUCCCGGAUACUUGAAGAAUUGAGACCUUUCUUGAGCUGGCAUGAUCAAUGGCUGGGAGAAGUAUGAAGUGGCAAGAUCCAGAAGGAUUAUUUGACACAGGCCCAAUUGAAAGGUAAAGGGCUAUCAUCAAUCCACUAUGAGAUGAGAGCAUUUGAAUGAUCUUAACAGUCUUAAUGGUAAUUGAGAUACUGCAAAGAAAGUCAGAUUUUUCUCCAUGAUUAUUAGUGCAUACACAUAGAGAAAGAAAAGAAAACCAAAAAUUAAAAAUAAUUUAAAAAAAUCCAACUUGUAACUCAGAGUUUUAGUGUCCUUUAUAUUGUGUAUGAAUUUUCUUUAUAGUUAUUUUCAGAGCUAGGAGAAUCCAAAGUUGGAAGUGGCCCAGGUUUCUCUGGACCUCUCAGAGCCCCUGUUGUCAAGCUUAAGAUCAAGUGGCUUAAGAUCUUGUUCCAAUUGCUUAGAAUUAUCAGUUGGCAUCCAGGUAUCUUACAGCUGGUGGGAAAAGAACAUUUCCCACAAAGCCAAGUAUUCAGGGAAGAGUUGGCAAGGAGUUCCAUUAGCUUCUCUUGUGUUUGCUGCUGGGCAGACCACCCUCCUUCCUCACUUAGAACAAGGAGGUUGAUGGCUUCCUCCACUUCUGCAGCUGGGGUAAAUGGGACUGAAUCUAGUGCUGGCAUCAGUAAUGUUCUCUGGCUGCCAGCCACGUACAGAGGAGGAUACCUUUGUGUAGUCAAAGAGUUGGGUUUUUUUUUUUUUUUCAACUUCAGACACUUUGACUAAUACGAGCAGGGUUGUAAGCUCAAAAAUUUACCACUUAAUCACAUGGCAGACUUCAGCUCUUACCAUUGUUAAACUCUUGAAGGCCGGCGGGCCCAUUUUGAGGAUGACAGUUUGGAGUUUAAAGAGCAGAAAGGGGCUUUUCUGCUUCAGCUCAGAUAAUUCCUGAGGGGGCAGCCAGGGACUGGUUCUCAGGCUGUUCAUUUAUAAUUGCUGUAGUUUUGUGGAUUUGCCCCUUGACCCUCUUCUUCAGAACACAAGGUAAUCCAGGGAGGGACUCAUCCACAAAAUAGGGAAGGGUCUUUUCUGGGGAAAAAAAAAAAAAGGCAGUUAGAAGAAA